AGGGCAGGAUGCCGGAUAACGUCCGGUGGAGGUGACUCCCAGACCAGUGCAACAGAAAUAAACCGCCGGGAUUUCCCGGUAAGGGUGGAAAGGCAGUGUAAGAGACUACCGCCGUUCUGGUAACAGAGCGGGCACAUGUAAACUCCAUUCGAAGCAAGACCGAAAAGAAAGCGAUACGGCUGCCCGUCGUGCUUUCAGGUGGGUCGCUUGAGCCCUCUGGCAACGAAGGGCCUAGAUAGAUGAUUACCCAAUGACAUAACCCGGCUUAUCGGUCUGAU
This 278-nucleotide RNase P RNA is filed under the name uncultured Blautia sp. RNAcentral describes it as "Bacterial RNase P class A". It matches the Rfam family "Bacterial RNase P class A", at positions 63 to 359 of the family's 367-position model. Rfam says of the family: Ribonuclease P (RNase P) is a ubiquitous endoribonuclease, found in archaea, bacteria and eukarya as well as chloroplasts and mitochondria. Its best characterised activity is the generation of mature 5'-ends of tRNAs by cleaving the 5'-leader elements of precursor-tRNAs. Lineage: Bacteria; Bacillati; Bacillota; Clostridia; Lachnospirales; Lachnospiraceae. The record is from RNAcentral.